Molecule: ribosomal RNA, 497 nt
Filed under: uncultured bacterium
Lineage: Bacteria
Description: partial 16S ribosomal RNA
Rfam family: Bacterial small subunit ribosomal RNA
Source: RNAcentral
GAUGAACGCUGGCGGCGUGCCUAAUACAUGCAAGUCGAGCGAACAGAUGAGGAGCUUGCUCCUCUGACGUUAGCGGCGGACGGGUGAGUAACACGUGGAUAACCUACCUAUAAGACUGGGAUAACUUCGGGAAACCGGAGCUAAUACCGGAUAAUAUAUUGAACCGCAUGGUUCAAUAGUGAAAGACGGUUUUGCUGUCACUUAUAGAUGGAUCCGCGCCGCAUUAGCUAGUUGGUAAGGUAACGGCUUACCAAGGCAACGAUGCGUAGCCGACCUGAGAGGGUGAUCGGCCACACUGGAACUGAGACACGGUACAGACUACUACGGGAGGAAGCAGUAGGGAAUCUUACGAAAUGGGGGAAAGCCUGACGGAGCAAAGCCGGGUGAGUGAUGAAGGUCUUAGGAUCGUAAAACUAUGUUAUUAGGGAAGAACAAAUGUGUAAGUAACUAUGCACGUAUUGACGGUACCUAAUCAGAAAGCCACGGCUAACUACGUG